GCCGGGAGCCGCUGGGCCCAGCCCAGCUCCUGCCAGGGCCGCAGGGCCUGGACAGGGGAACGGGAGGCCAGCUGGAGCUCUGUCACCUUUCACAGCCAGGGAACAAAGAGAACAAGAGAGCUCUGACUUUACAUUUUAAGGUUUCCACGUAAAGGAGGGAUGAUAUCCUUAAUAUUGAGCAUGUUAAGAUCUAAAACUUGGGGUCCAUCUCAAAAAACACUAUGAGGACAAGAAGAAACGGGGUAACUAGAGCCAAGAGAGGAGAGCCACUUUCAGCAACAGAAGAGACUCUGAAGCCAGGAAGUGAGAUAUUUCAGGAAAAUUAAUCUGACACAGAGGUCCACACUGAGAUAUACUCAGACUUUGUGAAGGCAAAAAGUAAUUUCAAAAUGGGCAAUAAAUUGCUGCUAUUCCUAAAAAAUCAUUCACUCUACUUCCAUCAUCAUCUGCUAGUCCUCACAUACUCUUCCUGUUCUCAGUCCAUUACCUUGCCAAAACCAUGUUUCAUUUUAAACCACCACAAGACACAGUGGGGGUGGAAAUAAGAGCCAGGGAAAAGCAAGGAGGUGUUAAGAUUGCUGCUUUUGAUGCUUCAUGGCUUCCAUCUCCUAAGUGUGGUUGUAUAAGUACAGCCUGGGAGGAGCUGGGAGAAGAGACUGAAGAGAAUAAUAAUGGGUAUGAGAUAAUGGAAAAAAUGAGAUGCAAAAUGAGAGAAGUCUGGCCAGAAUUUUUGGGAGCUAUUGACCUGUUUAAAAGCAUACUACAGCAGAAGUGGUCAUUGAAUAAGGUGAGUUAUUUUAAUUGUAUUGAGGAAUUUCAGUGCAGUUUCAAAUAAUGGGAUGUAGCUCUGUGAUCGUUUUGAACUACAUCUAGAUGAGCUCUUUGCACAUAACUGUGAAAUCAGGAAGAAACACAUAAUUUCAUAAUAAUAAUUAGCUGAAAACUUGGACUUCACAUCUGCUUUUGAAAACUAUCACCACAUAAUCAAUAUAGGAAGGUUAUAAACACGGAAGAUAACCAUGAAAUGAAAGGUAUAUAAAUGUGUCCAGUUUUGAGAUCUUCAUUCUGAAAAUGUGCUGCUGCUUUGAAUUGCAGUCAAAAUCUCUGCAAUUAAGGUGUGACAUGCCCUUCUGGUAAUAAAGUUUUCCAAAUUAUAUUAGAAGCAUGUGAUUCUCUUACAGAAUCACAUGAGCCUACAAUUUAAAUCCUGAAGUAUCAUGUUUGAAUUACAGUUUGUUAAUUUAACUUUAAUUAGAAAAUCACCUUAAAGUUUAUGUCCACUUUUAAUGACAAGAAGCCUUCAAAGCUUCCACUCAAUUGGUCUUACUUAUUUAGUAGUCAGAUGCAUUUAAAUUUUAUAAAUCCAUUAUC
Non-coding RNA from Cyanistes caeruleus (blue tit), 1371 nucleotides. The record is from RefSeq and is a predicted model, not a curated record. Lineage: Eukaryota; Metazoa; Chordata; Aves; Passeriformes; Paridae.